Molecule: long non-coding RNA, 449 nt
Filed under: Setaria viridis
Lineage: Eukaryota; Viridiplantae; Streptophyta; Magnoliopsida; Poales; Poaceae
Description: long non-coding RNA (SVIR_LNC001858)
Source: RNAcentral
UCAGGUGGCCGAGUUGCUGCAGAGGAUUGCAGAGUUGAAGAAGGCAGGGCUGACUGGGGUCAAUGUAGUCGCCAGUUUUUUGAAGAGAAGAGUACAACCAUUGCAGCUGCGCCAAACUUGGGGCUAUGAGUACUCAGGUUUUGAUGAUGCUUCGCGGAUGUCUAUUGAAGGUAUAUUUGAUGAAGCUAUUGAAGACUUGUUGGGCAAAUUUUUCAAGAAUUUCCAAGGAGUGCUCAAAGUUGAUGAGUCCAUUCAGGAGUUUGACAGCUAGUAUAAACCUAGAGAGGUAACUUGCUUUCCUUUUGAGUACUCAUAAUUAGUAGUCAUCAUGUUUGCCAACCAGUAAUUCCUUAUGCAGGAGGAUGUCCUUUUAUACUUUUCUCUUCCUCCUCCUCCUGAUGCCGAUGUUGCAAAAAAUGCGAGAUCUGUGUACUACGUGCGUUUACCUG